Molecule: ribosomal RNA, 1379 nt
Filed under: Chryseobacterium sp. HJ-86
Lineage: Bacteria; Pseudomonadati; Bacteroidota; Flavobacteriia; Flavobacteriales; Weeksellaceae
Description: bacterial SSU rRNA
Rfam family: Bacterial small subunit ribosomal RNA
Source: RNAcentral
GCAGCCGAGCGGUAUUGUUUCUUCGGAAAUGAGAGAGCGGCGUACGGGUGCGGAACACGUGUGCAACCUGCCUUUAUCUGGGGGAUAGCCUUUCGAAAGGAAGAUUAAUACCCCAUAAUAUAUUUGUUGGCAUCAAUGAAUAUUGAAAACUCCGGUGGAUAGAGAUGGGCACGCGCAAGAUUAGAUAGUUGGUGAGGUAACGGCUCACCAAGUCUGCGAUCUUUAGGGGGCCUGAGAGGGUGAUCCCCCACACUGGUACUGAGACACGGACCAGACUCCUACGGGAGGCAGCAGUGAGGAAUAUUGGACAAUGGGUGAGAGCCUGAUCCAGCCAUCCCGCGUGAAGGACGACGGCCCUAUGGGUUGUAAACUUCUUUUGUAUAGGGAUAAACCUACUCUCGUGAGAGUAGCUGAAGGUACUAUACGAAUAAGCACCGGCUAACUCCGUGCCAGCAGCCGCGGUAAUACGGAGGGUGCAAGCGUUAUCCGGAUUUAUUGGGUUUAAAGGGUCCGUAGGCGGAUCUGUAAGUCAGUGGUGAAAUCUCACAGCUUAACUGUGAAACUGCCAUUGAUACUGCAGGUCUUGAGUGUUGUUGAAGUAGCUGGAAUAAGUAGUGUAGCGGUGAAAUGCAUAGAUAUUACUUAGAACACCAAUUGCGAAGGCAGGUUACUAAGCAACAACUGACGCUGAUGGACGAAAGCGUGGGGAGCGAACAGGAUUAGAUACCCUGGUAGUCCACGCCGUAAACGAUGCUAACUCGUUUUUGGGCUUUCGGGCUCAGAGACUAAGCGAAAGUGAUAAGUUAGCCACCUGGGGAGUACGUUCGCAAGAAUGAAACUCAAAGGAAUUGACGGGGGCCCGCACAAGCGGUGGAUUAUGUGGUUUAAUUCGAUGAUACGCGAGGAACCUUACCAAGGCUUAAAUGGGAAAUGACAGGUUUAGAAAUAGACUUUUCUUCGGACAUUUUUCAAGGUGCUGCAUGGUUGUCGUCAGCUCGUGCCGUGAGGUGUUAGGUUAAGUCCUGCAACGAGCGCAACCCCUGUCACUAGUUGCCAUCAUUAAGUUGGGGACUCUAGUGAGACUGCCUACGCAAGUAGAGAGGAAGGUGGGGAUGACGUCAAAUCAUCACGGCCCUUACGCCUUGGGCCACACACGUAAUACAAUGGCCAGUACAGAGGGCAGCUACACAGCGAUGUGAUGCAAAUCUCGAAAGCUGGUCUCAGUUCGGAUUGGAGUCUGCAACUCGACUCUAUGAAGCUGGAAUCGCUAGUAAUCGCGCAUCAGCCAUGGCGCGGUGAAUACGUUCCCGGGCCUUGUACACGCCGCCCGUCAAGCCAUGGAAGUCUGGGGUACCUGAAGUCGGUGACCGUAAUAGGAG